AUUGAACGCUGGCGGAAUGCUUUACACAUGCAAGUCGAACGGUAGAGGGGGCAACCCCUUGAGAGUGGCGAACGGGUGAGUAAUAUAUCGGAACGUACCCUAGAGUGGGGGAUAACGCAGCGAAAGUUGCGCUAAUACCGCAUACGAUCUACGGAUGAAAGUGGGGGAUCGCAAGACCUCAUGCUCAUGGAGCGGCCGAUAUCUGAUUAGCUAGUUGGUGGGGUAAAGGCCUACCAAGGCAUCGAUCAGUAGCUGGUCUGAGAGGACGACCAGCCACACUGGAACUGGGACAC
This 293-nucleotide ribosomal RNA is filed under the name uncultured bacterium. RNAcentral's name for it is "partial 16S ribosomal RNA". It matches the Rfam family "Bacterial small subunit ribosomal RNA", at positions 30 to 327 of the family's 1533-position model. The record is from RNAcentral.